ACUCACUUUCCCAAACCCUAAAAGAAGAUAUCAGAUGAACCCUCCCCAAAAAUUAAAAAAAAACCUAGCAACCCUUCUUCCUCUCUCACCCAUUAGCCGCCGCAUCCCUUCCCCUAUACUAAAAAAAUAUAGCAGCCAUUUUCUUCUUCUUCUUCCCCUAUCACUCAAGCCCAUUCUAACCUCACUAUCAUUUACACACAUAAAUCCUCACCUGUUAUCCUCAAAAUACACACGAAAAAAAAACAGGUCCGAAAUUGAAGCUCUGGACCUCAGUUCGAAAACAACAAAAUUUAAAGAAAAAAUGGUAGAAACAAAAGGGUUAAACUACAAAGCGAUCUCUGCAAGUUAUCUAAGCUGAGCUUGUAGUUUUCUUUUAAUUUUUGCAACUUCUAAAAAUUGUUCGACUGAAAGAAGCUUUUGAAAUCGAAGUUGAAGCUUUGUGUUGAUUUCUGCUGUUGAAUCGGUUGUUUAGUGGCUGAACUCAGACUUUUGUUUUGGUCCAUUUCUUCUGAUGUUCUUCUGCUUUUUAGGUAUGUACCUGUUUGAAACUGUAAUUCUAUGUUAGAGUUAAAUAAAACUGAGUUAUUAUGUUUGUUUAUAUUUGGAUUUAUAGAUUCAACAUGUUUUAGGUUUCGAAGUUACUCGGAAUUCUUCUUCUGUUAAUCCGUGGUAUUACUGUGUAUUUGAAUUAAAACUCGAAUUGUUGAAGCCUGAAUGCUUGUUGAUUAGUUAAUCAUUUUCAGGUAACAUGCUAUUCUUUGAAUUAAUGAUUUGUGUUUAAGAUGACAUGGAGGAGAAUAGAAUGUAAAAUAGUACUGCUCAGUAAAAUGGAGGACCAAAAGAUUGGGCUUUAGACAGAAGCCAUUGUCUGCUUCUUUUCCAGAAGAAUCAGCGUGUAAUGUGGCCAGAUUAGAUUAAGUUUUUUUAGCAGUUUCUACUGUGAAGUUUAUGGGAAAUAUAAAUAUUGCUAAAAAUAUCACAUUAGUAGCCUGCCUUGUUUCACUACAAAUGAAUCCAAAUAUUGAGAAUAAAUUCAAAUAAAUCAUGUAAGCUAGUAAAGAUUUCAUAAAGCAUUUGAAUAAACUAAAUUAAGAUAGUGUCUUUCCAGAUUCGCAAUCCUCAAGUGUAAACUUAUUAAUCGACACUUUAUCUCAAUAAUGUUCUUAUCAAUUUGCUUUGGAUCUUUCUCAAACAUUAUAUACUUUAUCCAUACUUCUUCUUCAUAACCAAUGAGUUUACAAGACUAAGGAAUAUGAAAUAUUCUUGAACACAGUAGCUUGCUUAAGGCACGAUUAAUAAAUCAUCGUGGCCAUGGGUACAAUUCUCAUGGCAUGGUCACGAUACAUAAAUUCCAAUUCGGGUGUGCAUUUUAUGUGACUGGACCAUAACUUCGAAUAAUGAUAAAAAUAAACAUGUUGUAAACCGCGCGUGCAUUUCAUGUGACGCGAUUCGCAAUAUGUACAAAACUAGACGAGCGCCCGCCAUAAUAACUUAUUCAAAUAAAUUCCAUAAAUCCUAAAAGAAAUCAAAACUCUAUUAAAAGCGGUUAGAAAGGUAAAAAUACACAGUAGGUUUAAAUAUGUAUUAAUCAGAUAAUUAGUCAAAUUAUUUGUAACGACCCAACCGGUCGUUUUGAACAUUUGUACUUCGCUUGGUUGUUUGAGGGCAUGAGUAGCUCUGUAUGAAGUAUUAUGACUUAUGUGAAUCAUCGAUUUUGGUUUUCAGGUUAUUUGGAAUUGAUUUGGAAUAAUGAUUCUCAGCUAGAAGCUUUAAAUUUGAAAGGUUUGACCAAGUUUUGACUUUCUAGAAUUUGACCUCGAAUUGGAUUUCUGAUGAUUUCGUUAGCUCCGUUGGGUGAUUUUGGACUUAGGAUCGUGUCCGGAUUGUCAUUUGGAGGUCCGUAGUAGAAUUUGGCUUGAAAUAACGAAAGUUAGAAUUUUGGAAAGUUUGACUGGGAGUGGACUUUUUGAUAUCGGGGUCGGAUUCUGAUUCCAGAAGUUGGAUCAUGUCGGUAAUGUCAAAUGUGACUUGUGUGCAAAAUUUGAGGUCAAUCGGAUGUGAUUUGAUAUGUUUCAGCAUCAGUUGUGGAAGUUUGAAGUUUCAAGUUCAUUGAUUUCGAAUUGAGGUAUGAUUCGUCGUUUUGAUGUUGUUAUGUGCGUUUUGAGGCCUCGAGUAGGUCCGUGUUGUAAUAUGGGACUUGUUGGUAUGUUUGAACAGUGUCCCGACGGGCUCAGGUGAGUUUCGGAUAGGUUUGGGUUGUGUUGCGCUCGUUUUUUUUUAAUGUUUCGACACUGUUUUUCAAGCAUAAAUGGUACUACAUUAAGCAAAUGAGUUUCGAUUUUUGUUUUUAUUAAAGCAUUAGACGCGUAUCAUAAUUAUGGAGCUAUAGCAAAAAGAAUCGUCGACUUUGGACAUCGUAUGAGGAUUUUAUGGUCAUUUUACUAAGAAUUGGGUUGCCAGAUCUUUCAGAUUAAUUACGAAAUUGCCACUGAAUUCGUAUUUAAAAAUCUGCACUAUUUUCAAAUAUUGAAACCAACAUAUCUCCUUCAAUAUAAGGUCAAAUGGAGUGAUUCAAGAGCCUAACUUGACUAAAAUUUCAUAAGAAAUUUAUUGGAGGCAUCAAAAGCAAGUUUCGGGAUCAUUUGGAAUGAGAAUCGAGGUAGAAUAGCUGGCAAAAAAAAAUAUAAAACUAGGGUUUGUUCAUUUGGUCAUAUUUUGGGUUGGGGAGCUCGGAUUUGGACGAUUUUGGAGGUGAUUUUCAUCGUAUGAAUUGGGAUAAGUGUUCUCUAUUCGGUUUUGGUUAUAUUUCAUGAAUCCAUCUUCGUUUUUAGCAUUUGAUUGAUGAUUUCAAAGUGAAAUUUGAGGGGUUUUGCCUAAAGUUUCAUAAAGUGAAUUCUUAAGUUUUGAACAUCGAUUCGGAGUCGAAAUUAGAUGAAACUAGUAUGGUUGGACUCAUAAUUGAAUGGGUUAUCGGAUUUUAUGAGUUUUGUUGGGUUUUGAGAAGCGGGCUCGGGUUGGGCUUUUUGGCCGAUUUUGGGCUUUUGAUUAAAGAUUCGACCUUUUCCGAUUGGGAUUGGUUGCUUUAGCAUUGUUUGAUGAAUUUGAGUUGUUUUUGGUUAGUUUCGAGUCGUUCGGAGGUCGGAACACGCGAGAUGGUAUUUUUGGAACAUCGCUUGGCUUGCUCGGCAUUGGAAUAGGCUUGUUUGAGGUAAGUAACGAUUGUAAAUCUAGUCUUGAGGGUAUGAAACCCCGAAUUUCGUAUCGUUUACUAUUUUGAGGUGACGCGCAUGCAAGGUGACGGGCGUGCACCAUUGGGGGUUGUGACUUGGUCCAUCCCAUGGCAACUAUAAGUUACGUAUUUGAAUGAAACUAUAUGAUACUUAUGUGUUUUAGAUAGAAUUUCUAUAAAUUGGGCUGAAUGCCAUACUUGCACCUUGUGCCAG
This 3443-nucleotide long non-coding RNA is filed under the name Nicotiana tabacum (common tobacco). RNAcentral's name for it is "long non-coding RNA (NTAB_LNC003745)". The record is from RNAcentral. Lineage: Eukaryota; Viridiplantae; Streptophyta; Magnoliopsida; Solanales; Solanaceae.